This 212-nucleotide ribosomal RNA is filed under the name uncultured soil bacterium. Its description in RNAcentral is "partial 16S ribosomal RNA". It matches the Rfam family "Bacterial small subunit ribosomal RNA", at positions 26 to 267 of the family's 1533-position model. The record is from RNAcentral.
AGAACGAACGCUGGCGGCAUGCCUAAUACAUGCAAGUCGAACGAAGGCUUCGGCCUUAGUGGCGCACGGGUGCGUAACGCGUGGGAAUCUGCCCCUUGGUUCGGAAUAACAGUUGGAAACGACUGCUAAUACCGGAUGAUGACGAAAGUCCAAAGAUUUAUCGCCAAGGGAUGAGCCCGCGUAGGAUUAGCUAGUUGGUGAGGUAAGGCUCA